Molecule: long non-coding RNA, 1162 nt
Organism: Lineus longissimus
Lineage: Eukaryota; Metazoa; Nemertea; Pilidiophora; Heteronemertea; Lineidae
Exons: 2
Source: RefSeq, a predicted model, not a curated record
CCCGGGGAGGCCAAUUCCAAACUAAAAUUUUGAAGAAAAAUAUCAGAGUCUUAGUUUUGUACAAAACUAAGACCCAAUUCCAAACUGAAAUUUUGAAGAAAAAUAUCAGAGUCUUAGUUUUGUACAUCAGGGGAUCUUAGUUUUGUACGUACAAAACUAAGAUCCCCCGAGGUACAAAACUAAGACCCAAUUCCAAACUGAAAUUUUGAAGAAAAAUAUCAGAGUCUUAGUUUUGUACAUCGGGGGAUCUUAGUUUUGUACGUACAAAACUAAGAUCCCCCGAGGUACAAAACUAAGACCCAAUUCCAAACUGAAAUUUUGAAGAAAAAUAUCAGAGUCUUAGUUUUGUACAUCAGGGGAUCUUAGUUUUGUACGUACAAAACUAAGAUCCCCCGAGGUACAAAACUAAGACCCAAUUCCAAACUGAAAUUUUGAAGAAAAAUAUCAGAGUCUUAGUUUUGUACAUCAGGGGAUCUUAGUUUUGUACGUACAAAACUAAGAUCCCCCGAGGUACAAAACUAAGACCCAAUUCCAAACUGAAAUUUUGAAGAAAAAUAUCAGAGUCUUAGUUUUGUACAUCAGGGGAUCUUAGUUUCCAAAUUCUGCCCCUCUUUCGAAUUCAUUUUGAUGUAGUAAUGUCACCUUUGAGAUGCAUGCAGUUGCUCCAUCUGAAUAAUACCUCCAUAUGCACUAUGCAGGCACGACCGGUCAUCACUCUAGCAUAUACUCUAGCAUAUACGGCCUCCAUCCAGCUCCACAAAAAGUGGCGAAACCGGUGCAAUAUGCCAGUAGCACGUGGAUCAUGCCGAGCGGCGCUGUCAGGUGUUUCCACUAUGGGUUACAUAAUCGGCUACAAAGAGGCCAGUGUUCUAGUAAAUGAAGUUAGCAAUGAUAGCGAAGAAUGUUAGUGUAUGUUACGAAGUCAAUAGCGAUAGUAGUGAGUUGGAGAGAGGAGAAACUUCCAUCGGGAUAUUUGGUAGAGGCAGACCUUCAAGAGUCCCAAGAAGAAACUUUGCAAAGUCUUCAUCAAACUGAUAAUCAUAUUCCUUCCUUCUCUGCCUAUAUUGCAAUAACGUUGUUUGACUCGGUUAGUAUGUAAUUGAUGGAUAAGAAAACGUUCAUAUUUUACUCGUUCCAACUCUUCCGAUGGCGGCGCUCCUCC